UGACCUUGGAUUAGGUAGGAAUACCCGUUGAAUUUAAGUAUAUUAAUAAGUAGAGGAAAAGAAAUUAAUAGGGAUUACCCUAAUAAUGGUGAGUAAAGCGGUAAUAGUUUAAAUUUAAAAUCUAGCUUUAGCCUGAAUUGUAAUUUAUAAAGGAAGCUUUUAGUAAAGUACCUUCUAAAUCCUUUAGAACGGGGCGUUAUAGAGGGUGAGAGCCUUGUAUAGUCGGAUGUUAAUUUAAUAUAAAGUUCCUUUAAUAAGUCGAAUAGUUUAGGAAUAUUAUUUAAAAUAGGAGGUAAAUUUCUUUUAAAGUUAAAUACCGGUUAAAAAUUAAUAAUAUAUAAGUAGAAUAAUUGAAAGAUGAAAAGUACUUUAAAAAGAGGGUUAAAUAGUACGUAAAAUUAUUAAAAGGGAAGUGUUUGUAAUUAAAUUUACGCUGUUUUAAUUAUUUAGUAUUUUUACUAGUAUAUUUAGGACGGUUUAAAUUAGUAUUGGUUUUAGUGGGGGGAUAAAAGUCCGGGGAAUAUAGCUCCUCCGGGAAUAUUAUAGCCUUGGGUGUAAUACCUUCGCCGGGACUAAAGUUUGUGUAUUUGUAAGGAUAUUAGUAUAAUAAUUAUUAAUAAUUUGUUUUAAAAUACGGAUUAAAAAAUUAAAGUUUUGUAUAAGUAUUUAGGUGUAAAACCUAUAUAUGUAAUAAAAGUAAAUGUAGGUAAGAGCUUCGGUGUAUUAUUAAUUAAUUUUAAUAUAUUUGGAUAGAUUUAAGUAAGAAUAUUAAAUUUUAGAUUUAAAAGAUAGUGAACUAUAUUUAGAUAGGGUGAAGCUAAAAGAAAUUCUAAUAGAGGCUUAUAGCGGUUUUAAUAUAUAAAUCGAUUGUUAAAUUUAAGUAUAGGGGCGAAAGAUUAAUUGAACUAUUUAGUAGCUAAUUAUUAUUGAAGUUUCCCUUAGGAUAGUAGUAUUGUUCUUUAGUUUUAUAAGGUAAAGCGAAUAAUUAGGGAUUUGGGGGUGCUUUUUAGCCUUUAUCUAUUUUUAAAUUUUAAAUAUAUAAGAAGCCUUUAUUAUUUAAUUGAAUGUAGGUAUUCGAAUAUACUAAUAUUAGUAGGCUAUUUUUAGUAAAUAAAAUUAGUAAUGCGGAAUAAACCGAACGCGAAGUUAAAGUAUUGGAGUAGACGCUUAUUAAAUACUAUAAAAGGCGUUAGUAUAUUUUAAUAGUAGGAUAGUGGCUAUAGAAGUCGGAAUCUAUUAAGGAUUAUAUAAUAAUUUACUUACCGAAUAUAUUAGCUUUGAAAAUGGAUAGCGUUUAAAUAUCCUAUUUAUACUCCGCCUUUAGGGUAAAAAUAAUAUUUUGAGGAGUAGGCGGCCGUAGAAGUUAGUAAUAAAGUUUAGGGCGUAAGCCCGGAUUAAAUAGCCUUUAAUAUAGAUUUUAGUAGUAGUAGUAAAUAUUUUAAUAAGAAUUUGAAGGACCGAAGUAGGGAAAGGUUCUAUAUGAAUAGUAGUUAGAUAUAGGUUAAUUAAUUUUAAAUUAUAGGGAAAUUCCGUUUUAAAGGGGUAUUUAUACCUUAUAUAGUAAAAGGGAAAUUAGUUAAUAUUUUGGUAUUUAAAUAUAGGUUUUGUAUAGUAACGUAACUAAAUGUAGAGAUAAUAGUAGGGGUUCUAGAUAGAAUUCUCUUUUCUUUUUAAUAGUCUAUUACUUUAAAAAUAAUUUAUUUAGAGAUAGGGUUUAAUAGUUGGAAGAGCCCGAUACUUCUAUUAGGUCCGGUACACUUUCGACGUUCUUUAAAAAUCUGUAGGAGGGAAUAAUUCUUAUAUUAAAUUAUAUUUAUAAUUAUAGUAGGUCUCUAAGGUGAAUAACUUUUAGUUAAUAGAAUAAUAUAGAUAAGGGAAAUUAGUAAAAUAGAUUUGUAAUUUCGGGAAAAGGAUUAACUUUAAAGGUUAGAUAUAUUAGGUUUUAGGUAGAUGCCCUAGGAGUAGAUUAUUAUUAGCCGGGUAAUUAAUUAGCGGCUUUUAAUAUCCGGGUAUAGAAGCCCUUAGUAAAUUUCGGUCGUCCGGCGUACGUUUAAUAAUUAAUUUAAAAUUAAUAUAAAUAAGGGGAAUUUAAUUAUUUAAUUAAAAUAUAGUAUUGUAAUAGCUAGAAAGUAGUAUUAAUAUAAUAUAAUUUCUACUUAAUACUUUAAAUAUUAAAGUAAAGAAAUUUAAUUAAGUAUAGGUAAAUAGCGGGAGUAACUAUAAUUCUCUUAAGGUAAUUAAAUACUUUAUUAUUUAAUUAGUAAUAUAUAUAAAUAAAUUAAUGAAAUUCCUACUAUCCCUAUCUACUAUUUAGCGAAACUAUAGUUAAAGGAAUAGACUUAGUAGAAUUAGUAGGGAAAGAAGACCCUAUUAAAUUUAAUUCUAGUUUAAUAUUAUAAAAAGAUAUAGGAGGUAUAAAAUAAGUAGGAGCUUUAGCGUCGGUAAAAUAUUAUUACUCCUAUUAUUUUUUUAUUUAUUUAAUUAAGCGGGGCUGGAUUUUCGUCUAAUUUCUAGUUUUAAGGUCCUUUGUAGGCCGACCCGGGUUAAAGAUAUUAUUAGGUAGGGAGUUUAGUUAGGGCGGUAUAUUUAUUAAAUUAUAAUGUAGGUAUCCUAAGGGGGGUUUAUAGAGAAUAGAAAUCUUUAGUAGAAUAAAAGGGUAAAAGUUCCUUUAAUUUUGAUUUUUAAUAUAAAUACAAACUAUAAAAGUGUAGCCUAUUGAUCCUUUAGUCCCUUGAAAUUUAAGGCUAGAAGUGCUAGAAAAGUUACUAUAGGGAUAAUUAAUUUGUAGCGGUUAAAUAUUUAUAGUAAUAUUGCUUUUUAAUCCUUCGAUAUUGGCUCUUCCUAUUAUACUAAAGUAGAAUUUAAUAAGUAUUAGAUUAUUUACUUAUUAAUAGGGAAUGUAAAUUAAAUUUAGAUUAUUGUAAGAUAAGUUAGUUUUACCCUACUAAUAACCUUAUUAUAAUAAUAAUUAAACUUAGUAUAAGAAGAACCGCUUAUUUAAAUAAUUAGUUUUUAUAGUUAUCCGACUAAGUAGUACUAUAAUGCUACUAUCUAUUAAAUAAUAGUUAAACGCCUUUAAAUUAAAAUCUAUAUUAGAAUGUAAUAAUACUUCUAAUAUAUUAUAGACGUAUAAAAAUAGGCUCCAGCCUCGUAUUUUAGUAGGCGAUUCCUCUAUUGGCCUUAAAGUAGCUAGUGGUAAUUCGCGUAUUAUAAUUUUAAUACGUACUAGAUUAAAUUUUUUAUAAACGAUUUAAAUAUAUAAAAGGGUCUUAUAAAUAGUAGAGUAGCCUUAUUAUUACAAUUUACUAAAGGUAAACCCUCCUUCGCUUAAAUUUCU
Ribosomal RNA from Neurospora crassa OR74A, 3337 nucleotides. It matches the Rfam family "Eukaryotic large subunit ribosomal RNA". The record is from Rfam. NCBI's taxonomy places the organism in Eukaryota, Fungi, Ascomycota, Sordariomycetes, Sordariales, Sordariaceae.